Molecule: ribosomal RNA, 409 nt
Filed under: uncultured Methylomirabilota bacterium
Lineage: Bacteria; Methylomirabilota (SeqCode)
Description: bacterial SSU rRNA
Rfam family: Bacterial small subunit ribosomal RNA
Source: RNAcentral
GCGUGGAGACAGGUGGUGCAUGGCUGUCGUCAGCUCGUGUCGUGAGAUGUUGGGUUAAGUCCCGCAACGAGCGCAACCCUCACCCCUAGUUGCCACCGGGUAAAGCCGAGCACUCGAGGGGAACUGCCAGCGUCAAGCUGGAGGAAGGCGGGGAUGACGUCAAGUCAUCAUGCCCCUUACGUCCUGGGCUACACACGUGCUACAAUGGCUAGUACAGAGGGAUGCGAGACCGCGAGGUGGAGCUAAUCCCAAAAAGCUGGUCUAAGUUCAGAUUGCAGUCUGCAACUCGACUGCAUGAAGUAGGAAUCGCCAGUAAUCGCGCAUCAGCACGGCGCGGUGAAUACGUUCCCGGGCCUUGUACACACCGCCCGUCACACCACGAAAGCUGGCUGUACUCGAAGUCGCUGAG